Python bivittatus (Burmese python) is the source of this 5065-nucleotide non-coding RNA. NCBI's taxonomy places the organism in Eukaryota, Metazoa, Chordata, Lepidosauria, Squamata, Pythonidae. The record is from RefSeq and is a predicted model, not a curated record.
UUUUUUUUUUUAAACUAUCUGCCUUUGUGCCUUCAGGGGCAGUGAAAGAAGACUGCCGAUUCUAGAUUGCUUUCAGAGUUUAGUUUGCUGAUGAUGGAUUACCAUGUCAAUUUAAACGGCAUAGGAUUAAUUUGUUUCAAUGAUUUCUCUUUAGGCUGAAUGCCAGGACUUUUUUUUGUGUGUGUGUGCUUUCUAUCUCUCCCCUCGCUCUUCAGAAUAAGAAUAAGAAUGAAAGGAAGAAAAAACACCAUCAUCAAACCCUUUUUGAUAUCCCCUUUCUGAAAAGACCAUAAUAGGGAACGACAAGUUUGGUGUAAAGUUGCAACGCGGGCUCAAAUUUGAGUGUUUUUUAAAUCUCAUUUGCAAAGGCCGAAGCCUCCCGUCAGUCACAUUAAAAUGAAAUUGGAUCUAGCAUUUAUUCAAUAAAUACUUCUCUUGUAGGUAAUCCAGCACAAAGAGCUUUUGACACAUAAGGACUUAAUUUGUCUUGGAUAAGAAGUUAUUAAUAUGGCACAUUUAAACUUGCCACCUACAAUAAGGUCAUUGAGAUCUUUACAUGAUUUGGAGAACGGAUUGGAGGGUGCUUGAGGGAAAUAUGAGGCAAGGUCUGAGAUGGCAUUCACCAAGAGGAAGUGGGGUGGGAACGUAGCAAGUCAUCCAAUGGAAAAGGUCCUGGGCUAAAAACCUAGGCUAAAACCUCAUCUUAGCUGGAAUUCUUCAGACAAAUCCUUGCUCGGAUACCUCAGUGUCCCAUCCACAAUGGGGGAAGAACAGCACUGAUUCUCGAUCCCUGUAACGGUGUAUGAUUUUUUUUUUUUUAAAGGAGAGACUGCCGCCCUCCCUUCUCCGAUACUGCAUCCACGUUUAAUGUUUAUAAAAUGUAGUGGGCAAAUCUCCCAGCGUAUAUUGUUCACAUUCAGAUCACUGCCACGUACCCCCACGUUCAUAUGGCAACCAAACCCGCUGCUUAGAAAUCAAGCUAAAAGGCUGCAGUGUGGGUUUGCAGGCUUUUCUAUAGCGUGUAAAGCUCUUCAGGCAGGAACGGAACAAGGUGGUUAAAAAGUUCAGAAUUGAUUUUGGAGAUGCGUCUGAAGAAGGACGUCCCCCGUAAUGGGUUAGGGCCUGAACAAAAGCAUAUUUGGGUGAUUGGCUUUGUUCAUUCACGAGCCCCGUGUCAGGAAGGAGACUUUUCUGUAAUGCAAAGAUAAGAACUCAGUCCAAUAGAAUGAUUUUGGAAACGGCAGAAGAGAUGCGUCUGCUUGGCUGAAACAGUAAAGAGAAAGUGGAACAACACAGAAGUGAUCAAUAAAACACUUAACAUUCAUGCUCAGAUAUUCUUACAACAGCCCUGUAAGAUUAGCCAAUGUCUCUGGGGCUGUGCUGGACAGUGGGGUUGAAGAACUGUAGAUCUGCUUCAAAGAUAAACUCCUGAAUUCAUGCUAGAGGUCAGGCAUGAAAAAUACCAUCUUAGCUCACCCUUCUCUCUCAUGCACGGAUGUCCAGCUGUGCUCAGUCAAGCUUACUUCUUUGCAGCUGCCUUCAGGAACACCCUUCACCUACUGAAUUAACCUAUUUUGGGGGGGUGUAAUACAUUGAGCCAUAAACAAACCCAAAAGGCUGGAUUUGAUCAAUGUUUAAGCUAACAAAGCUUAUAGAUGUAUCUGCUAGGUUUGCCAUUGCCCUGGUUAAGGGUGUUUUAUGAACAUAGCCAUUAAAGGUACUGAAAGAUGCAACAUUAGGGUAGGGGAAAAGUAGAAUUGAAUGUAUUGAACAACACUAGGAAGACAGAAAGACAGAUUAUAUAUCAUAGUGAGGAAGUGAAGAAUGGUUGACGUUACUUUUUCUACCAAAGCAUUUCUAAAUGCACGGGAUAUUUUUAUGGGCUUGUGCAGCAGCGAAGAACAAUUCAGUACCUGGAAUGGUUAUUGAAUUUUUGUUCUCCAUCCAUUAGAGAGCCCAGUGCUACUCAGAACUUCUUUCCUUUUUAUUUUCGAGUGCUGGCUUUGAAUCUACACUUGUAUACAGUAUAACAAUAUUAAGCCUUUCAAUUUUGGAUUUGUGUUUUUGUAUCUGUAAUUGAUAUGGAUUAUUCUGGCCUUGGAUGGGCUGGGGAUGGUUUAGUCAUCUCACCUGGGAUAGAAUGGUGGGUCCAGAGGUAGAAUAUUAGAGGCUCCCAUUUUUUCCUUUUUUGCCAAUGUAUUUUUUACUCUCCGUUUUUGACCAUUGAAAAUGAAUAGACCAAUAAACAUUUUCCUUUUGAACUGAUGACUUGCCCUGCUUUGAGUACAAGGAUGAACAAAUUUCAUUAUUUCUAAAUAGUAAAACACACUUCGGAGGAGUCCCAUUCUAAUUUUCCCCAUUGCCUCCUCCUUAAAACGUCAUUAUGAAACUUAGAAUAAAUGGUUAGGCUUCUGCAUUCUUCCCUUCUGAAUAUAUUUUUUCUUCUACCAGGCCCUAGUUGCUUUAACACAACAUUUUUACUAAAGCUAAAAUCUGCCGCUUUAAUGUUAUAAUUUCUCAGAAGUUUUCUUCCCCUGCAAAACAAACAUCUGCUUUUCUAUUUUAUUCUCUGAUAGGCUGAGAACCAACAUUGGAUUUAUCUUGUUGGUGUUGGGAUUGAUGUUGUUGGUGGAGUGAUCAAUGUUUUCUUGUGGGUGGGGUGUAUUCCCUGAUGCUUAAAGGAGCUGUUCAUAAGACCUUUAUUAAAGAGACUCUCCUUUGACCUGAGACACCUAUAUAAUUAUAGGGCAGUCCUAAAUAUCCUGUUUCUAGGAAAGGUGUUUCAAAAGGUGGUGGGCUCCCAGUUCCAGACGCAACUGAUCGAUACUGAUUUUCUGGAUCCAUUUCAAUUAGGUUUGCAGGUGGGAUCCGGUAUUGAAAAUGCCUUGAUUACCUUGGUGUGUAGAAAAUAAAUGGAUGGGGAAAAUGUGGUCCUACUACUAGUUCUCCUAGACCUCAGUACCAUUCUCCAUAGUACCUUUCUGGUCUGUCUAGCAGGAUUGGACCUUGUGCACCGUGGUUACAAGGGUUCUGGUCCUUCUUGCCACAGCAUUUCCAUGAAGUAAUGCUGAAGACUACUGCUUGAUAUUGAUGUCCUACAGGAUUUUAUAUGGUCCCCAUGAUCAACAUCUACUUGAAAUUUCUGGGAGAAGUCAUAUGAAUAGAGUGGCGUGCCCUGAACUCUAUUGCUUUUUACCAUCCAACUUCGAGGAAAUAUUCUGCACCCUUGAACAAUAGCUAUAUCUGAUAACAGGCUGAAUAAAACAGAACAAAUUGGAAUUGCAUCUAAACAAGAUGAAGAUAUUGUUGGCUAAUGGACUGGGAAUGAAAUUCAGCCUGGUAUGAAUGGAGCCAUGCUCCCUUGAAAGAGCUGGUUUGGGAGAGCUCCUUGAUUCUCAGUCGUCUCUGGAUUUGCAAGUGAUGGCUCUGGUGAUGAGGAAUCCUUUUGCAUAAUUAUAUCUAAUGUUCUAUCUGUAUGCUAACCCUUCUCCUGUGUUGCCUUCAGGGUAAGGAACAUAGUCCUUUCACAAUUUGUGUGUAAUCCCCACUCUCUCAAUAUUUAGGAAAUCUGUAAAGAUGCAACUCUUUCACCAGACAUUUCAUUUUUUAGGUAUUUUUCAUAUUUAACACUAGUUUUCAUUUGUAUUUUUAAUAUAACCACGUCACUAAAUAUUUGUAAGACCACAUCUCUGAUUUUGUGUUCUUUGAAGGAAAUUUCAGAAACAAUUCCCUUUGAUUCAACUGAAUGAUAAGGAAAAAAAAAUGCUGGGGAAUUGUUCAGCUCAAAACAAGAAGGAAUUACAAUAAAUCCUGCAAGCCUGAACUUUGUCCGUUCCUUCUCCGAUUGAUGUGGUUAGCCAAGAGGGAUGCUACUGAAGUUCAGUCUUCUUUAUUGUAGGAAUCCCUCAAGGUGGUUCUUAUGGAAGUACUCAGUGAUGACCACACCUACAUUCUAGUAGUAGGGAGAAGAAGAAGCUUCUCAACAUGGUGGUGGAACCCUGGCCUUCACCACAAAUAAAAGAGAACAAGCUAAGAAAACUUCUUUGGGAGAAGAAUAAAAAUUCACUGAGACCAGCCUUCAGCUUCUAACCCAGAUGUGUUUCAGAAGACUGUUGGUGGGACGGAAAGGCUACACAUUUAAUUUUUCCAUCAGCACACUAGAUAUCAAAAGUUUGGAGACCUGAGCUGUCCAGCUUCUGGUUGCACAGAGAACUCUAACCAUCUUCAGCCAAACGUGACUAUACAGUAGCUUGUGUUCAGAUCUUCCCCAUGAACAAGGAAGAAGGGAUACUGGUCUUCACUCCAGAAUCAAGAUUGUGAGGUUUUAAAAAGGGGCUCAACAUGGUGUACCUUGUACUCCUUCCUCCUCUUUGAUGCUGAGAACAAUAAACUUGUGAGGAAGGCUGGGUUGAAAGCUAGUGAUUGCCUCAAGACAUCCAGUGGGCUUCCUUGGGUAAAGGGAGACUUGAACCCCCAAGGCUCAUGAGUAUGAGUGCAUUUCUAUCUUUAAGCAUUUUUAUAGGUGAGACUAAUGUUGCAUUCACAUUCUGUACAUUGCUUACAGUAGAAGCUCAAUUUCUCAUCCAUGUUCCAUCCAUGUUUCAGCAGAUUAGCAUAAAAAGUCCUGAGAAAUGCUCAGCAAUGGCUCUUUGCAUCUCUGGUGAGAAUGUACAUGGUCGUCCCAUGCACUUGAAGAAUGCUUCCCGUUGUCAGCCAAAUCUUGAGAUGGGCUUAUUUUAUCACACAGACUUGAUAAAAGCUAUCAAACAAUCUACGCCAUAUACCUGCUAGGAAGAACAUGGAAAACUCAGCCCAAGGAUAUAUACAUGACAUCAAUAGGCAACAUCAUUAAGAAAGCUGACAUUUCAUAGCUUGGAUGUGGGCAGUAGAAAUCUACUUGAAACAAGAUACAAUAUAGAUACAGCUUACAUGGUGAUGUCCAAAACUUGCUGAAGUUUUUUCUAGGGCUUCCGUUGACCAAAGACCUGUUAAAUUGGUUACUUUUCAGCCUUUUAAUUAAGUGCCUAUUCUGAAAUAAAAGUGCAUAUUUCUAAAAUAUUUGUGU